AAGUGUAGAUGAGGUACUAACCCUAGCAACCCCUUUUCUUCUUUCUUACCGCUAUCAUAUUCUUCCAUGGAUCCCUUCUCCAUAUCUCAAGAAAUCUAGGAGAGGUUCUAACCCUAGCACGCCUUCCAUCAAAUCUAAAAGAGAUCCUAAUCCUAGUGCAGCUAUCUUUCUUUUCUAUAUUCUCAUACUUUCAUCUAUCUUUCUUUCUUG
Molecule: long non-coding RNA, 210 nt
Filed under: Elaeis guineensis (African oil palm)
Lineage: Eukaryota; Viridiplantae; Streptophyta; Magnoliopsida; Arecales; Arecaceae
Description: long non-coding RNA (EGUI_LNC051510)
Source: RNAcentral